Long non-coding RNA from Austrofundulus limnaeus, 515 nucleotides. RefSeq lists it as uncharacterized. The record is from RefSeq and is a predicted model, not a curated record. NCBI's taxonomy places the organism in Eukaryota, Metazoa, Chordata, Actinopteri, Cyprinodontiformes, Rivulidae. The transcript has 3 exons.
CAGAUAAAAACCCAAGCAGUUCAGCUAAACGUCCACAUGGAGGCGCUGCAGGAUUUCUUCAGAGCAGAAACUCAGGCUCCACAGCAGUGAAGAGGAGGAGGAACUCGAUGAUGAAGAGCUGAACCGUUCCUGAUCCUGCAGCUCGUCGUUAAUCGUGAUUCUGUUCAUCGGUGGAGAAAAACGCUUCUCGCCGUGUGAAACGACCCGAGUCUGAACCUUCUCAUCAGCUGCAGGACUCAUUGAUCCAGAUCUGACAGCAGGAGGAAGAGCAAGAGGAGGAGGUGGCGUUUCAGAAACGGCGUAGGGAGGUGACAUGUUGGAGGAAGUCCAGCAGCAUCCACGUGCAGACGGAGGAAGAGGAGGAGACGUCAGGUGACAAACAAAAGAGACAACCGGAGAACUGCAGGAUCCCAUUUUCUGAAAAAAAUCUGAAUUUUCUCGUCGUUAUUAAACACCACUACCAAAUACAUUGUGUGUGUUUGUCUGUUAGCAAAAUAUCUAUGGGAUAAAUCUUG